RNAcentral lists this ribosomal RNA (253 nucleotides) under uncultured bacterium. Its description in RNAcentral is "partial 16S ribosomal RNA". It matches the Rfam family "Bacterial small subunit ribosomal RNA", at positions 524 to 776 of the family's 1533-position model. The record is from RNAcentral.
UACGUAGGGGGCUAGCGUUGUCCGGAAUCAUUGGGCGUAAAGCGCGUGUAGGCGGUUCGGUAAGUCCGCUGUGAAAGUCGGGGGCUCAACCCUCGAAUGCCGGUGGAUACUGUCGGGCUAGAGUACGGAAGAGGCGAGUGGAAUUCCUGGUGUAGCGGUGAAAUGCGCAGAUAUCGGGAGGAACACCAGUAGCGAAGGCGGCUCGCUGGGCCAUUCCUGACGCUGAGACGCGAAAGCUAGGGGAGCGAACAGG